GAGGAUUUAAAUGGCCGCAGUAUUUUGACUGUGCAAAGGUAGCAUAAUUAUUAGUUUUUUAAUUGAAAGCUUGUAUGAAGGGUUGGACGAGAUGAAAUCUGUCUUUAUUUAAAUUAAAAUAUAAUUUAACUUUUAAGUAAAAAGGCUUAAAUGUUUAUAAAAGACGAGAAGACCCUAUAGAUCUUUAUUUAAUUAAAAUUUUAAUAAUUUAGGAUUAUUUUAAUUUAAAGUUUUAAUUAAAUUUUAUUGGGGUAAUAUAAAGAUUAAAUAAAUUCUUUUUAUUUAUAACAUUGAUUUAUGAAUAUAUGAUCCAUUAAUAUUGAUUAUAAGAUUAAGUUACCUUAGGGAUAACAGCGUAAUUUUUUUGGAGAGCUCAUAUCGAUAAAAAAGUUUGCGACCUCGAUGUUGGAUUAAAAAUUAGCUUGGGUGCAGAAGCUCAAGAUUUUGGUCUGUUCGACCAUUAAAUUUUUACAUGAUCUGAGUUCAGACCGGCGUGAGCCAGGUCGGUUUCUAUCUUUAUUAAGAUAAAAUGUUUUAGUACGAAAGGACCAAAUAUUUAAUAUAAUUAUAUUUAUUUUUUGAAGAAUAUU
RNAcentral lists this ribosomal RNA (590 nucleotides) under Cicindela (Rivacindela) sp. JP-25b. RNAcentral describes it as "partial 16S ribosomal RNA". It matches the Rfam family "Bacterial large subunit ribosomal RNA", at positions 1917 to 2739 of the family's 2925-position model. The record is from RNAcentral. Lineage: Eukaryota; Metazoa; Arthropoda; Insecta; Coleoptera; Carabidae.